UGCCCCCUGGCCCAGCUGGUUAAGGCGUCCGACUGUUAUCCGUGCAAGUAAAAUUCCGGCAUUGACAUCGGGAGAUCGGGAGUUCGAUCCUCCCGGGGGCAG
Mycena vulgaris is the source of this 102-nucleotide non-coding RNA. Lineage: Eukaryota; Fungi; Basidiomycota; Agaricomycetes; Agaricales; Mycenaceae. The record is from the annotation of a GenBank genome assembly.